UGUGCCAGCAGCCGCGGUAAUACGUAGGGUGCGAGCGUUGUCCGGAAUUAUUGGGCGUGAAGAGCUCGUAGGCGGCUUGUCGCGUCUGCUGUGAAAGCCCGGGGCUCAACCCCGGGUCUGCAGUGGGUACGGGCAGGCUGGAGUGCAGUAGGGGAGACUGGAAUUCCUGGUGUAGCGGUGAAAUGCGCAGAUAUCAGGAGGAACACCGAUGGCGAAGGCAGGUCUCUGGGCUGUAACUGACGCUGAGGAGCGAAAGCAUGGGGAGCGAACAGGAUUAGAUACCCUGGUAGUCCAUGCUGUAAACGUUGGGCACUAGGUGUGGGGGCCAUUCCACGGUUUCCGCGCCGCAGCUAACGCAUUAAGUGCCCCGCCUGGGGAGUACGGCCGCAAGGCUAAAACUCAAAGAAAUUGACGGG
RNAcentral lists this ribosomal RNA (416 nucleotides) under uncultured Arthrobacter sp. RNAcentral's name for it is "bacterial SSU rRNA". It matches the Rfam family "Bacterial small subunit ribosomal RNA", at positions 504 to 917 of the family's 1533-position model. The record is from RNAcentral. Lineage: Bacteria; Bacillati; Actinomycetota; Actinomycetes; Micrococcales; Micrococcaceae.